UAUAUAUAUUUUAAAGUGUUGGCUUGUACCACAUACGUAGCUUAUUCAUGUGUGAAAAACAAUACACCACAGUGGAAAAACAUUAUCAGUUUCUUGUAACC
Long non-coding RNA from Limulus polyphemus (Atlantic horseshoe crab), 101 nucleotides. RefSeq lists it as uncharacterized. The record is from RefSeq and is a predicted model, not a curated record. The transcript has 3 exons. NCBI's taxonomy places the organism in Eukaryota, Metazoa, Arthropoda, Merostomata, Xiphosura, Limulidae.